This 492-nucleotide ribosomal RNA is filed under the name uncultured bacterium. RNAcentral's name for it is "partial 16S ribosomal RNA". It matches the Rfam family "Bacterial small subunit ribosomal RNA", at positions 29 to 507 of the family's 1533-position model. The record is from RNAcentral.
AGUGAACGCUGGCGGUAGGCCUAACACAUGCAAGUCGAACGGCAGCACAGUAAGAGCUUGCUCUUACGGGUGGCGAGUGGCGGACGGGUGAGGAAUACAUCGGAAUCUACUUUUUCGUGGGGGAUAACGUAGGGAAACUUACGCUAAUACCGCAUACGACCUACGGGUGAAAGCAGGGGAUCUUCGGACCUUGCGCGAUUGAAUGAGCCGAUGUCGGAUUAGCUAGUUGGCGGGGUAAAGGCCCGCCAAGGCGACGAUCCGUAGCUGGUCUGAGAGGAUGAUCAGCCACACUGGAACUGAGACACGGUCCAGACUCCUACGGGAGGCAGCAGUGGGGAAUAUUGGACAAUGGGCGAAAGCCUGAUCCAGCCAUGCCGCGUGUGUGAAGAAGGUCUUCGGAUUGUAAAGCACUUUAAGUGGGGAGGAAGGGCAGUAAGUUAAUACCUUGCUGUUCUGACGGUACCAACAGAAUAAGCACCGGCUAACUUCGUG